Molecule: long non-coding RNA, 3180 nt
Organism: Oncorhynchus nerka (sockeye salmon)
Lineage: Eukaryota; Metazoa; Chordata; Actinopteri; Salmoniformes; Salmonidae
Exons: 3
Source: RefSeq, a predicted model, not a curated record
CAGACGAGAACCGGGAAUACUGCCUCUGGCAAUAGAAGUAGGUAGGUUGGGAAUGUUCUAGAUGAAGAAGAGGGUGUAUGUCCACUGUUUCUGUUUUAACAACUAACACUGCGUUUCUAUUCCUUCGUCCCCAGCCGAUGACAUCAAGCCGUGUCCGCGCUGCGCGGCUUACAUCAUCAAGAUGAACGACGGCAGCUGCAACCACAUGACCUGCGCCGUGUGCGGCUGUGAGUUCUGCUGGCUCUGCAUGAAGGAGAUCUCUGACCUGCACUACCUGAGCCCGUCAGGUUGUACCUUCUGGGGCAGGAAGCCGUGGAGCAGGAAGAAGAAGAUCCUGUGGCAGCUGGGCACGCUGGUGGGCGCUCCGGUGGGCAUCGCUCUGAUCGCUGGCAUCGCCGUCCCUGCCAUGAUCAUAGGCAUCCCUGUGUACGUGGGGAGGAAGAUCUAUAACCGCUAUGAGGGGAAGGACAUCUCUCCCCACAGGAGGAACCUGGUGAUAGCAGGAGGAGUCACUCUGUCUGUCAUCAUGUCCCCUGUGGUGGCAGCCGUCUCUGUCGGUCAGUAUACUGUACUCUGUCUGUCAUCAUGUCCCCUGUCUGUCAUCAUGUCCCCUGCGGUCAGCAUACUGUACUCUGUCUGUCAUCAUGUCCCCUGGGGUCAGUAUACUGUCCCCUGUCUGUCAUCAUGUCCCCUGUGGUCAGUAUACUGUACUCUGUCUGUCAUCAUGUCCCCUGUGGUCAGUAUACUGUCUGUCAUCAUGUCCCCUGGGGUCAGUAUACUGUCUGUCUGUCAUCAUGUCCCCUGUGGUCAGUAUACUGUACUCUGUCUGUCAUCAUGUCCCCUGGGGUCAGUAUACUGUACUCUGUCUGUCAUCAUGUCCCCUGUGGUCAGUAUACUGUACUCUGCCUGUCAUCAUGUCCCCUGUGGUCAGUAUACUGUCUGUCAUCAUGUCCCCUGUGGUCAGUAUACUGUCCUCUUGUCUGUCAUCAUGUCCCCUGUGGUCAGUAUACUGUCUGUCAUCAUGUCCCCUGUGGUCAGUAUACUGUACUCUGUCUGUCAUCAUGUCCCCUGUGGUCAGUAUAAUGUCUGUCAUCAUGUCCCCUGGGGUCAGUAUACUGUCUGUCUGUCAUCAUGUCCCCUGUGGUCAGUAUACUGUACUCUGUCUGUCAUCAUGUCCCCUGGGGUCAGUAUACUGUACUCUGUCUGUCAUCAUGUCCCCUGUGGUCAGUAUACUGUACUCUGCCUGUCAUCAUGUCCCCUGUGGUCAGUAUACUGUACUCCGUCUGUCAUCAUGUCCCCUGUGGUCAGUAUACUGUCUGUCAUCAUGUCCCCUGGGGUCAGUAUACUGUACUCUGUCUGUCAUCAUGUCCCCUGUGGUCAGUAUACUGUACUCUGCCUGUCAUCAUGUCCCCUGUGGUCAGUAUACUGUCUGUCAUCAUGUCCUCUGGGGUCAGUAUACUGUCUGUCAUCAUGUCCCCUGUGGUCAGUAUACUGUACUCUGCCUGUCAUCAUGUCCCCUGUGGUCAGUAUACUGUACUCUGUCUGUCAUCAUGUCCCCUGUGGUCAGUAUACUGUACUCUGUCUGUCAUCAUGUCCCCUGUCUGUCAUCAUGUCCCCUGUGGUCAGUGUACUGUACUCUGUCUGUCAUCAUGUCCCCUGUGGUCAGUAUACUGUCCUCUUGUCUGUCAUCAUGUCCCCUGUGGUCAGUAUACUGUCUGUCAUCAUGUCCCCUGUGGUCAGUAUACUGUACUCUGCCUGUCAUCAUGUCCCCUGUGGUCAGUAUACUGUCCUCUUGUCUGUCAUCAUGUCCCCUGUGGUCAGUAUACUGUCUGUCAUCAUGUCCCCUGUGGUCAGUACUCUGUCUGUCAUCAUGUCCCCUGUGGUCAGUAUACUGUACUCUGUCUGUCAUCAUGUCCCCUGUCUGUCAUCAUGUCCCCUGUGGUCAGUAUACUGUCCUCUUGUCUGUCAUCAUGUCCCCUGUGGUCAGUAUACUGUCUGUCAUCAUGUCCCCUGUGGUCAGUACUCUGUCUGUCAUCAUGUCCCCUGUGGUCAGUAUACUGUACUCUGCCUGUCAUCAUGUCCCCUGUGGUCAGUAUACUGUACUCUGUCUGUCAUCAUGUCCCCUGUCUGUCAUCAUGUCCCCUGUGGUCAGUAUACUGUACUGUCUGUCAUCAUGUCCCCUGUGAUCAGUAUACUGUACUCUGUCUGUCAUCAUGUCCCCUGUGGUCAGUAUACUGUACUCUGUCUGUCAUGUCCCCUGUGGUCAGUAUACUGUACUCUGUCUGUCAUCAUGUCCCCUGUGGUCAGUAUACUGUACUCUGUCUGUCAUGUCCCCUGUGGUCAGUAUACUGUACUCUGUCUGUCAUCAUGUCCCCUGUGGUCAGUAUACUGUACUCUGUCUGUCAUCAUGUCCCCUGUGGUCAGUAUACUGUACUCUGCCUGUCAUCAUGUCCCCUGUGGUCAGUAUACUGUACUCUGCCUGUCAUCAUGUCCCCUGUGGUCAGUAUACUGUACUCUGUCUGUCAUCAUGUCCCCUGUGGUCAGUAUACUGUACUCUGUCUGUCAUCAUGUCCCCUGUGGUCAGUAUACUGUACUCUGCCUGUCAUCAUGUCCCCUGUGGUCAGUAUACUGUACUCUCUCUGUCAUCAUGUCCCCUGUGGUCAGUAUACUGUACUCUGUCUGUCAUCAUGUCCCCUGUGGUCAGUAUACUGUACUCUCUCUGUCAUCAUGUCCCCUGUGGUCAGUAUACUGUACUCUGUCUGUCAUCAUGUCCCCCCGGGGGGCCUGUCACCCCCCGGGGCCUGUAGACACAGUGGUCUCUGGUUGUUUAGAUGAGCUAGUAGUGACCGACUGCUCUUAGGAGACACAGUGGUCUCUGGUUGUGUAGAUGAGCUAGUAGUGACCGACUGCUCUUAGGAGACACAGUGGUCUCUGGUUGUUUAGAUGAGCUAGUAGUGACCGACUGCUCUUAGGAGACACAGUGGUCUCUGGUUGUUUUAGAUGAGCUAGUAGUGACCGACUGCUCUUAGGAGACACAGUGGUCUCUGGUUGUGUAGAUGAGCUAGUAGUGACCGACUGCUCUUAGGAGACACGGUGGUCUCUGGUUGUUUUAGAUGAGCUAGUAGUGACCGACUGCUCUUAGGAGACACAGUGGUCUCUGGUUGUUUUAGAUGAGCUAGU